RNAcentral lists this unclassified non-coding RNA (2186 nucleotides) under Gigantopelta aegis. Its description in RNAcentral is "uncharacterized LOC121387618, transcript variant X1". The record is from RNAcentral. Lineage: Eukaryota; Metazoa; Mollusca; Gastropoda; Neomphalida; Peltospiridae.
GAGAGGACGUGUUAAAAAGUCCUUGUUCUCCGAUGUACAUGUGAUGGAGUUUGCAAACAGAAUUGUUUAUUUGUUGUUAACUUUUCAUUCUGUUUUUUGUGUGGAAUUAUUCCCAGAAGUUAUACAAACAGACGAACAGGUGGAGUUCAAAGAAUGUUACGGAACCAGCGUCGGAUUCGCCAUUUCCGGUAAUCUGUCCGACCACUACCAGGCUCUGCGACGUCACUUUCAUGGCUGCACGUUCGUCAACGGCAACCUCGAGAUCACCAACCUCGUUUCCAUGGAGAUACAUUACGACCUUGACUUUUUGAAGGACAUAGAGAUCGUCACCGGAUAUGUUCUCAUCGGGUUGGUGACAGAAGUGGAUACGAUCUCACUUCCCAAGCUGAUUCUGAUUCGAGCAGACAGCACGUUUGCCGUUCUCGGGUCAGAGUAUGGCCUUGUGGUGACCUUGACCUCUCGCAAUGAGACCAGUGGAUUGCGAACCUUGCAUAUGCCAGCAUUGAAAGAAAUUUCUCGCGGACAAGUUCUGUUCCUAGAAAAUCCACUACUGUGUCACGUGGACACGAUCGACUGGGAUCACAUGACACCGAACCGAGAAAAUGUUUUACACAUGAUAAAACAAGGUCAUUCUAAGAACUGUGAGCCGUGUUCGUCACACUGUCUUGCUAAAAACGUCAGUCGAUGUUGGGGACCCGAAGACAAUCUUUGCCAACAAGUGAACAGCAUGCAUUGUACAUCCAUGUGUCUGAACCACUGUUUUGACACAGGCGUAUUCGGUUGCUGUCACCCGGAGUGUGCUGUGGGUUGCACUGGUCCCCUGGAUACAGACUGUCAUAUGUGCAAGUACUUCAAGCACAAUGACCGGUGUGUUUCUUCUUGUCCUGACGACCAUUACUUCGCUGGACAGCAUUGUAUACUCAACCCUUUCCUGUUCACCUCAACUGACAACGAGCAUCCGAGCAUGUUAGAAUUCCAACACGCAACAGAAGCAGAAACCAAAAUGGCUGAACUGAAUCCAGUACAAACUGAGUCAAAGGGUGUGAACUCUCGACAAACAGCUGAUGACCAAGCUUACUCGGAUUUCGACACAGACAUUGUGGAUGACUACUUCCGACUUCACUACACUGUAAAUGAUCCUUUUACUGGUGAGGACAGUUCACCAGACUCGUCCACCAGUCCUCAAGCAAUCACAGAAAAUGCUGCCACUCCACUCUUUAACACAGAUACGGCUACCAGCACCUACCAAUUGGCCGAUGUCGAAAUUAUGGUUACCAACAGCAAACAUAUUGCUGAUGAGUCGCCGAGCACAGCAUAUGAUUCAUUACAACAUUACUUGUCACCAGCUGAUGCUACAGCUGCCAUAGAAUCACCGACGUCUGCAGAUCCUGAUCCACCUCUGAAUGAUGGACCUAUAGAAACUGAUGUCAGCACUGCAGUCUCAGAAAGUGAAAUAAAGCAAAUAACUACAGCCACUAGCACACCCGAUGAGAACACGGUUAAAGAUCCCGCCGAACCAGAAUCAACAAAUCUGACCAAUUCCACUGAAGAAAUAUCUCAUGUCUCUGUUACUGCUGACUCAGUUGGCGAUGAUAAUGGAAACUACACAGCCACCGUAAUGACUAAUGAUAGUGCGGUUUACAAGGAUGGCGAUUUUAAACAAACCAAUCAUAGCAAGUCGUACGAAGGUGUGGAUUUGAAAUACACCAAUGAGAACAUGAUAUCUCAUGAUGAUUAUGAUGAUGAUGAUAAUGAUACACAAUAAUAACUACAUAUGGAAAUACCAUAAGAUGUUUCAAUAACAAAGGUUUUAUUAAAUAAUUUCAAAUGCCAUGAAAUUCCAAACGUCUGCGAUAGCAGAUUACCAAAAAGUUACAAUAUCUGUAGACUGCUGAAAUCGCAAGACCUGUGAUGACAAAUGACUUAAACAUAUUACACCAUAUAAACUGCUGAUAUGGCAAAGGUUUGCAAUGACAAAUGACCAAAUUAUCAACUGAAAAUUAUUUAAAAGAGUUAACAUUGCUGACGAAUUCCCAGCAUCUGUUGAUAUUGAUUUGGAGUUGUACUAAAUGAGUUACGAAUUGACAGAAGAAUCCUGAGUGUGUUUAAGCCAACAUUGUUUCUGAUAAAAUGGUAAUAACCUCUUUAUCAUAUAAUCUCAAACUUAAUACAACAUGUUUUUGUAA